Molecule: ribosomal RNA, 1434 nt
Filed under: metagenome
Description: bacterial LSU rRNA
Rfam family: Bacterial large subunit ribosomal RNA
Source: RNAcentral
AUUUCGAUGGGGUGACAGAGAAGUGAAAGGCCCGCGCAGUUACGGAAUACUGCGUUAAAGCGUGUAGGUAUAUCCUGGGUAGGCAAAUCCGCCUGGGAUGCUGAACGUGAUAGUACUCAGAGGCUUCGGCUGAAGAGAUAGUGGCCCUAAUCCUGCUCGCGAGAAAAACCUCUAAGGCUAGGUUAUUACAACCCGUACCGUAAACCGACACAGGUAGUCGGGAAGAUUAUUCUAAGGCGCUCGGGUGAGCCGCGGAGAAGGAACUAGGCAAAUUGUAGCUGUAACUUCGGGAUAAAGCUAUCCCGGCGCAAGCCGGGAUUCAAUGAAAAGGUUCAACCAACUGUUUAACAAAAACACAGGGCCCUGCAAAAUCGAAAGAUGACGUAUAGAGCCUGAUACCUGCCCGGUGCCGGAAGGUUAAGGAAGCUUGUCAGCCGCAAGGUGAAGCUUGCGACCGAAGCCCCGGUAAACGGCGGCCGUAACGAUAACGGUCCUAAGGUAGCGAAAUUCCUUGUCGGGUAAGUUCCGACCUGCACGAAUGGUCUAAUGAGUUGAACACUGUCUCCUCCGCGAGCCCGGUGAAAUUGUAGUAUCGGUGAAGAUGCCGGUUACCCGCCACGGGACGAAAAGACCCCGUGAACCUUCACUACAACUUUGCAUUGAUUUUGAGUAACAGAUGUGUAGCAUAGUUGGUAGGCUAUGAAGCAGUGGCGCUAGCCAUUGUGGAGCCAACGUUGAAAUACCAACCUUCUGUUACUUAGAGUCUAACCCCGAGAGGGAGACAUUGCAUGGUGGGUAGUUUGACUGGGGUGGUCGCCUCCUAAAGCGUAACGGAGGCUCGCAAAGGUACCCUCAGUACGGUUGGUAAUCGUACGAAGAGCGCAUUAGUAUAAGGGUGCUUGACUGUGAGGCUGACCAGCCGAGCAGGUGCGAAAGCAGGCUAAAGUGAUCCGGUGGUUUCCGUAUGGAAGGGCCAUCGCUCAAAGGAUAAAAGGUACUCCCGGAUAACAGGCUGAUCUCCCCCAAGAGCUCAUAUCGACGGGGAGGUUUGGCACCUCGAUGUCGGUUCGUCACAUCCUGGGGCUGGAGAAGGUCCCAAGGGUUCGGCUGUUCGCCGAUUAAAGUGGCACGUGAACUGGGUUCAGAACGUCGCAAGACAGUUCGGUCUCUAUCUGUGGUGGGCGUUAGUAAAUUGCGAGGACAUGCUCUUAGUACGAGAGGACCGGAGCGUAUGUACCGCUGGUGUAUCUGUUGUGCCGCCAGGCGCAGUGCAGAGUAGCUAUGUACAGCCAGGAUAAGCGCUGAAAGCAUCUAAGCGCGAAACCUUCCUCAAGAUGAGUUUACUUUUAAGUGCCGUCAAAGACUAUGACGUUGAUAGGCUAUAGGUGUAAAGGUGGUAACAUCAAAGCCGAGUAGUACUAAUUGCACAAAAAG